UACAGAGGGUGCAAGCGUUAAUCGGAUUUACUGGGCGUAAAGCGCGCGUAGGCGGCUAAUUAAGUCAAAUGUGAAAUCCCCGAGCUUAAACUUGGGAAUUGCAUUCGAUACUGGUUAGCUAGAGUGUGGGAGAGGAUGGUAGAAUUCCAGGUGUAGCGGUGAAAUGCGUAGAGAUCUGGAGGAAUACCGAUGGCGAAGGCAGCCAUCUGGCCUAACACUGACGCUGAGUGCGAAAGCAUGGGGAGCAAACAGGG
RNAcentral lists this ribosomal RNA (254 nucleotides) under uncultured bacterium. Its description in RNAcentral is "partial 16S ribosomal RNA". It matches the Rfam family "Bacterial small subunit ribosomal RNA", at positions 524 to 777 of the family's 1533-position model. The record is from RNAcentral.